ACUCUGUGCAGCCUCAGGCUGGGGGCCGGCCAGGCUGGGUUUCAGGGAUGUGAACUACCCUAGGAAGAGGCAAGAUGUGUCCAGCAGCUGACCAUGAAGGCAAUGCAGAACGAACGGGUCCUGCAGCUGCUAUCUGCUUCUGAGCAUUUGGAGCUCACAUCUCUGCAAGGACAUGAGGUGGCCUCUGAGUGUUGGACUUGUUGGAGAUCCUUGAAGGGGGAAAACACUGGUUGCUGGAACCUCCCUGAGUUUCUGCUUCAGUGGAUCCUGCCUGGGUGUUGUCUGAGCUCCUGCAUUUCUAAAAAGUGCUCAGGUGAUGAGGAUGUUGCUGGGCUGGGGACCACGCUUGGAGAGGAGAGGGUAGGGGCCGCAGACAAUCUGCUCUGUGCAGUAGGGUGAAGAAAGCUCGUCUACUCUUGACAAGAGCUCUUUCCAUCCCCAUUCCACGCGGAUUCAUGGGGCUUUCUAUGCUGAAACAACUGGAGGGAAGUGACUAAUUUCACCCAUGAUGGAAAGGCGCUAUCUACUUGCCCUCAAAGGUGGGUCAAGAGUCCCUUCCCAGUGGACAGUGCUGUGGCCUGGUGACUGUGUCUGGGGCAAGAUGCUGCUUCUUGGAAACUUGUGGCUCCAAGUUUCCUUUGCUUCAGGGGCCACCUCAGACCCCAGAAGGGAGGUGGGUGCUCACGUCCACAGAUGGGC
RNAcentral lists this long non-coding RNA (699 nucleotides) under Castor canadensis (American beaver). RNAcentral describes it as "lncRNA (ENSCCNG00000019499.1)". The record is from RNAcentral. Lineage: Eukaryota; Metazoa; Chordata; Mammalia; Rodentia; Castoridae.